RNAcentral lists this ribosomal RNA (467 nucleotides) under uncultured Sphaerochaeta sp. RNAcentral describes it as "bacterial SSU rRNA". It matches the Rfam family "Bacterial small subunit ribosomal RNA", at positions 337 to 796 of the family's 1533-position model. Lineage: Bacteria; Pseudomonadati; Spirochaetota; Spirochaetia; Spirochaetales; Sphaerochaetaceae. The record is from RNAcentral.
GCCUACGGGUGGCUGCAGCUAAGAAUCUUCCGCAAUGGGCGAAAGCCUGACGGAGCGACGCCGCGUGAACGAAGAAGGCCGUGAGGUUGUAAAGUUCUUUUCGGGAGGGGGAACAACCGUGGCAGGGAAUGGCCGCGGGAUGACGUGAAUCCCGGAAUAAGCCCCGGCUAACUACGUGCCAGCAGCCGCGGUAACACGUAGGGGGCGAGCGUUGUUUGGAAGCAUUGGGCGGAAAGGGCGUGCAGGCGGUCCAGCAAGUCCGGCGUGAAAGACCCCGGCCCAACCGGGGGGAAGCACUGGAAACUGCAGUGCUUGAGUACAGGAGGGGAUGCCGGAAUUCCAGGUGUAGGGGUGAAAUCUGUAGAUAUCUGGAAGAACACCAAUGGCGAAGGCAGGCAUCUGGCCAUGUACUGACGCUGAGACGCGAAGGUGCGGGGAGCAAACAGGUUUAGAUACCCCGGUAGUCG